UAACUCCUUGAGCUGGUUAACCCUAGUGACGGUUUUGAGAACUUCAGCGUCCCUGCCGCUACUCCUGCCGAGAAGAUAAAGAGCGGCGGCGCUGAGGCAGCAGGUAACCCCACCCCAAUGAAUCAUCUUCCUAACAAUGCCUAAUGUUGGAGUUUCAAGGGUUAUGGAAUUAAAUAUUGGGGAUCAGGAAGGGAUGGAAUAAUAGUAGCAAUCGAAUCUGGAUUUACACAGAGCGGUGCGAGACGAUGGCGACAAUCUUCCGCUGCUGGCGAGAGCUAUGAGUUUGUUGAUAUCAAGGAAGCGCUUCAAGGAAUUAGAGACUGAUGGAGUAAUCUGUGAAUCGAAAGAAGGCGAGAAUUUCAGAACGUUGUGCAAUUGGAUGAUGAUUCUUUGCUUCGAUCUCUCUCUCUCUCUCUCUCUCUCUCUCUCUCUCUCUCUCAGGGUUUGGGGGCAAGAGGAGGGCGAUAAAAGUCAAGCCGCGGAAGCAAGGUAGCUGAUGACGUGGCCACUUCCCAAUAUUCGUUUGCGUGGGCCUACAUGUUUUUAUAUUUAAGCCCAACUAGGUACUAAAGUCUUUGUUAAAUAAGUGUUUUAUAUACAAAAAGAAGACUAUCAUCACGAUACUAAAACGGCAAUAAGAAGCUCUCUGAACUAUGUCACGUCGUUUAAAAUAAUUAUCCAAUGAGAAAAUUUGUUUUCGCCACAUCACUUUCGUUUUUUUUACUAAAGAAGAGUAAAGUCAAUGUUAUGCCGUGGCUUUUCCACUUCGUGUUCGUCUCCAAACUCAGAAUUUUCAAUUACCUUGAGACAAUAUUGAUCAAUCAAUGAUUAUCUCUAAAAUCUUCUUGAUUGUUUCGUUUCACCUCCACCCAAAAUCAAGUUGGCUGUAGAAACGCAUCUCGAAAUCGUUUUCAAACGGAAUUGGUUUUAUAUUUUGUUGGGGCUUAUGUUUUUGUAGGCAAAUCCUUGCGACUUGAUCUUCGCGAUUGCAUAUUUUGGUCCAAGUUGUGGUUCAUAAUGAUCUAUCAAUUAAAACACAAGCAGAAGAGUGGAUGCUUAUUGAUUGAUCAAGAUUCAGAUACCAUGUCAACUUAAUCUUUCCAUCGUUGAGUUUCUUGGAUUUCUAGCGACUAAUUAUUGGGGGUUUUUCUUAGCGCUUUAUAUGAUUAUGUAAUUUAAAUACUCGAUAUUGACUUCUCUCUUUCCUUCUCCAGUUUCCAUCAAAAUCGAUUCUUUUUUUUCUAUCUCCAAUAUCGUCCUUGACAGCCUGUCAUACAUGCCAGUAACAGAACUUAAAAUCAAACUCUUCAUCAAGUCUGCCUCUGUAGAAAGAUCAAUCCAGCAUUCUACAAAUACUAUUUCUGAGAAAUUUUCAUAUAACAAAGAAAAAAAAAACACUAAGAAUACGACAUACCUCACCAACAACAGUUAGAGGCAUUCCAGUAGGAAGAACGCGCUCAAUGCGCUUUACUCCAAGCAUCUGAAACAUAACAAUACCCGCUUAAGCAAAUAAAGAGGUCAGCAAAAAAGCAACCCGUAUAGAAAAGCAGAAAACCUUAAGGCCUUGGAGAUAAUCAAGUGUUCCCCGUACAAGGGAACGCCCUGACUCUUCAAAGACUUCACUUCCAACAGUCAAGGCAAAGCCUGUUGCACCACGAGCUCCCACUACAUUCAGACGACUUGUCCCAUCAUCCUAUUCACAAACAAAUUUCGAAAAUGUGGGAGAUGGUUUUAAAGAAGCAUCCAAUCACAGCUGCAAAAGAGUAUUGUUACUAUAUUUGACUUACCAGGAACCAAGGAACCUCCUUGCUCAUAGAUAGCAUCAAAGCACUAUCUUGAACCCAAGAACCAGUCUCAUUGUGCUUCAGAAAAUGUUGCUCCGCCUGAAAUACAUCAAUAUGAUUGCUAUAGUUUCACAUACACCUAACCAAACACAAACUAGAUUAAUAAUAAGUAGACACAUACCGUUUCCUCGACGAUAACGCCGCGUAUGCCACUAUGCUCGCACUUGAUAGGUGUGUCGGAGCCAACUCUUCCAGACACUGCCACAAUGAAAGGCAGGAGCUUGCUGCUAUCUAAUUCUAGCAAUUGCGCUGCAAAAUACAGAGAAAGCAGUAUCAACAAUCAUUGAACAGAUAAAAAAAAAAACAGAGAGUAGAAGAAUGAAUACCUAACUCCUUGAGCUGGUUAACCCUAGUGACGGUUUUGAGAACUUCAGCGUCCCUGCCGCUACUCCUGCCGAGAAGAUAAAGAGCGGCGGCGCUGAGGCAGCAGGUAACCCCACCCCAAUGAAUCAUCUUCCUAACAAUGCCUAAUGUUGGAGUUUCAAGGGUUAUGGAAUUAAAUAUUGGGGAUCAGGAAGGGAUGGAAUAAUAGUAGCAAUCGAAUCUGGAUUUACA
This 2399-nucleotide long non-coding RNA is filed under the name Brassica napus (rape). RNAcentral's name for it is "long non-coding RNA (BNAP_LNC010332)". The record is from RNAcentral. Lineage: Eukaryota; Viridiplantae; Streptophyta; Magnoliopsida; Brassicales; Brassicaceae.